GACGAACGCUGGCGGCGUGCUUAACACAUGCAAGUCGUACGGUAAGGCCCUUUCGGGGGUACACGAGUGGCGAACGGGUGAGUAACACGUGAGUAACCUGCCCACAACUUUGGGAUAACGCUAGGAAACUGGUGCUAAUACUGGAUAUGUGCCCCUGCUGCAUGGUGGGGGUUGGAAAGCUCCGGCGGUUGUGGAUGGACUCGCGGCCUAUCAGCUUGUUGGUGGGGUAGUGGCCUACCAAGGCGGCGACGGGUAGCCGGCCUGAGUGGGUGACCGGCCACAUUGGGACUGAGAUACGGCCCAGACUCCUACGGGAGGCAGCAGUGGGGAAUAUUGCACAAUGGGCGCAAGCCUGAUGCAGCAACGCCGCGUGCGGGAUGACGGCCUUCGGGUUGUAAACCGCUUUCAGCAGGGACGAAGCUUUUUGUGACGGUACCUGCAGAAGAAGCACCGGCUAACUACGUG
RNAcentral lists this ribosomal RNA (465 nucleotides) under uncultured bacterium. Its description in RNAcentral is "partial 16S ribosomal RNA". It matches the Rfam family "Bacterial small subunit ribosomal RNA", at positions 28 to 507 of the family's 1533-position model. The record is from RNAcentral.